RNAcentral lists this unclassified non-coding RNA (256 nucleotides) under Hygrophorus sp. RNAcentral's name for it is "partial contains small subunit ribosomal RNA, internal transcribed spacer 1, and 5.8S ribosomal RNA". The stretch from base 1 to 46 matches the Rfam family "Eukaryotic small subunit ribosomal RNA", at positions 1786 to 1831 of the family's 1831-position model. The record is from RNAcentral. Lineage: Eukaryota; Fungi; Basidiomycota; Agaricomycetes; Agaricales; Hygrophoraceae.
AAGUCGUAACAAGGUUUCCGUAGGUGAACCUGCGGAAGGAUCAUUAUUGAAUUUUGAAAGGGGUUGCUGCUGGUCUUUCGGGACAUGUGCACACCUCUUCUCAUCCAUUCUUACACCUGUGCACCCUUUGUAGGCCGGAUUAAUUUCUGGUCUAUGUUUUUCAUACACCCCAUUAAAGUCUUAGAAUGUCAAACACGUUUGUCCUAAAAAAACAAACUUAAUUAUACAACUUUUAACAACGGAUCUCUUGGCUCUC